AUCUUUUAGAAAAACAAUAAAUAGAUGCUUUUGCAUCGGUCGCAAAUUCACCCGGGCCCAGGCGUUACAAUGAUCGAGUGACGAGUGAUGUACGUCGUUAUCAUUGGUUACGUUCAAACCGCGUUAAAUUAUGCCACAUGAACCAAAUCCUCCUUAGAUGUUUGCUACUAGUAGUAGUAGUACUUUGUUGAUGUAGCUAGGACAACAAGUCGUGAUUAUUUUUCCGUACUAGAUAUGGUCAGAGGCCGCACAACAACCCCAUAUCCAUUCCACAACCAUUAGACGCGGGAUUGUCAGGAACAUGGGAUCUGCACAUGAGCAAGUGGAAGGCUGAAAGAGCAGAAGGUUGAGCGGAGGAGUAAUCUGUGUAAUUAAGUUUUGUUUGUGAUUAGGCCUAUUGGGCCAAGGGUUUGGGCCGUCUGGCCUUGUAAGGAGAGGGUGUACUUAAACCCUGAAUCAUCUGUUAAUCGGUAGACAAGAUAGAGAAGAAAAACAACCACCAAACAGAAUUUCUGUUACCUGCGCUUGUCCUUCCCUCGGAGGCAGCCACCGUGGGUGCUCACGUCGGAGUUGGCGCUACUCCGGCCACGGGUCUCACACUUGGUAUCAAAGACGGGUCAGCAGUCGUUGCUGGACAGCGAUCACCAGCGUUGUCAAUACGGCGCCUAUCACCAAACCAUCGAUGCAGACACGUUUUGUUUUGGAAGCCAUGGCGGAUCGAGAUAGGCAAACUCAGGAGAGUUUGAGCAAGGUCAUGGAGACUCUGGUAGUGGUGAGUGAUCGAUUGAAGGAUGUCGAGCACGUGCAACAGCAGAUGAUGAUGCGCACGGAUUUGGCUGCGUCUGUUGCUGAGCAGGCGACGAAGGAGCGAGUCGAGUUAUGUUGUAAGGUGGAAGAAACAGGGAAGGUGUUGGCCCAGAUACGUUUGGAAUUGAUGGGGAAGCAGUUGGAGGAUUCUUCUGGGGGAGCGGAAUUUCCAUCUUCAGCUCAUCAACAUCACAGUG
This 1004-nucleotide long non-coding RNA is filed under the name Zea mays. RNAcentral describes it as "long non-coding RNA (ZMAY_LNC004675)". Lineage: Eukaryota; Viridiplantae; Streptophyta; Magnoliopsida; Poales; Poaceae. The record is from RNAcentral.